UGUGUGUGUGUGUAUAUAUAUGUAUAUGUAUACACACACACACACACACACACACACACACACCAUGGAGUACUACUCA
This 79-nucleotide microRNA precursor is filed under the name Otolemur garnettii (small-eared galago). RNAcentral describes it as "miRNA (ENSOGAG00000020993.2)". Lineage: Eukaryota; Metazoa; Chordata; Mammalia; Primates; Galagidae. The record is from RNAcentral.